CAGAGGUCCCAAGCGUUACUGAGAAUCACUGGGUUUAAAGGGUGCGUAGGUGGUCCGUUAAGUCAGUUGUGAAAUCCCCGGGCUCAACUCGGGAACUGCUUCUGAUACUGGCGGACUUGAGGCCAGUAGGGGUCACUAGAACUGACGGUGGAGCGGUGAAAUGCGUAGAUAUCGUCAGGAAUGCCGGUGGUGAAGACGGGUGACUGGGCUGGUUCUGACACUGAGGCACGAAAGCGUGGGGAGCGAACGGG
Molecule: ribosomal RNA, 251 nt
Filed under: uncultured bacterium
Lineage: Bacteria
Description: partial 16S ribosomal RNA
Rfam family: Bacterial small subunit ribosomal RNA
Source: RNAcentral